UGGCUCAGGACGAACGCUGGCGGCGUGCCUAAUACAUGCAAGUCGAACGAGAGCGACCGGUGCUUGCACUGGUCAAUCUAGUGGCGAACGGGUGAGUAACACGUGGGUAACCUGCCCAUCAGAGGGGGAUAACAUUCGGAAACGGAUGCUAAAACCGCAUAGGUCUUCGAACUGCAUGGUUUGAAGAGGAAAAGAGGCGCAAGCUUCUGCUGAUGGAUGGACCCGCGGUGCAUUAGCUAGUUGGUGAGGUAACGGCUCACCAAGGCCGUGAUACAUAGCCGACCUGAGAGGGUGAUCGGCCACACUGGGACUGAGACACGGCCCAGACUCCUACGGGAGGCAGCAGUAGGGAAUCUUCGGCAAUGGACGGAAGUCUGACCGAGCAACGCCGCGUGAGUGAUGACGGCCUUCGGGUUGUAAAGCUCUGUUAAUCGGGACGAAAGGUCUUCUUGCGAAUAGUUAGAAGAAUUGACGGUACCGGAAUAGAAAGCCACGGCUAACUACGUGCCAGCAGCCGCGGUAAUACGUAGGUGGCAAGCGUUGUCCGGAAUUAUUGGGCGUAAAGCGCGCGCAGGCGGAUCAGUCAGUCUGUCUUAAAAGUUCGGGGCUUAACCCCGUGAUGGGAUGGAAACUGCUGAUCUAGAGUAUCGGAGAGGAAAGUGGAAUUCCUAGUGUAGCGGUGAAAUGCGUAGAUAUUAGGAAGAACACCAGUGGCGAAAGGCGACUUUCUGGACGAAAACUGACGCUGAGGCGCGAAAGCCAGGGGAGCGAACGGGAUUAGAUACCCC
Molecule: ribosomal RNA, 788 nt
Filed under: uncultured bacterium
Lineage: Bacteria
Description: bacterial SSU rRNA
Rfam family: Bacterial small subunit ribosomal RNA
Source: RNAcentral